GUAAAACAGGUAGAAUUACCAUAUCCCACUCUAAGGGGUAGUUGAGGCCCCUGGAGAAGUCUGGAGAAAGGAGACCUCCAGAGUUGAUGCCAUCUCUUCCUCCUCUCCAGGUGUUCUUUACUUUAUGAAUGAAGCCAGAGCAGCCCACCUUCCUGCAUCUCUACCACCAUGGCACCAUGCCCUGUGAUGGGUGGGCUGGAGUCAAAUAUGUAGCAGGCAGCCAGGGUCAGUUUGUGGCCACUGCUGCCCCCUCUUCCUACAGUCUCCUCACUGAGUGCCCCUUCCCUGUUGGGUUCAACACAUCUGUGCUCCUGUAAGCCCUCAGCCUCCUCGUUCUCUUCCUCAACUUCUACCACCAGACACAUCUGAGAAGCAAGCAAGAGAGGCUGAACUAGGAGCAGGACCCAGGGACUGAAACCAGCACAGCAUCCCCACAGAGAAUUGGGUGGAAGGCAGCAUGGCUUCCAGCUUACUGGUGCUGAGCAGAUUGCUCUGGGUCUCCAUUGUAUCCUCUGAAGGAAGGAGGAGGAUUGCCUUCUGUCCAGAUCUCAGGAUCAAACAAAUAGGUCCAAUUUCCUGUGCUCACUUCAGUUAGAGCACUUCUCAUGUGACUUUGUAGCUUUGUGUGCAUCUCCUUCCUCUACUAGACCUAAGCCCCUCACGGGAGGGACUCUCUUAUUCUUGAUGUUCCCCACACCUGGAAUUUCAAUAAACAUCUCAAUA
RNAcentral lists this long non-coding RNA (723 nucleotides) under Homo sapiens (human). Its description in RNAcentral is "non-protein coding lnc-KCNA1-97:26". The record is from RNAcentral. Lineage: Eukaryota; Metazoa; Chordata; Mammalia; Primates; Hominidae.